GUCCGCACAGUAAACGAUGAAUACUAGCUGUUAGCGAUAUACCGUUAGUGGCACAGCGAAAGCGUUAAGUAUUCCACCUGGGGAGUACGCCGGCAACGGUGAAACUCAAAGGAAUUGACGGGGGCCCCGCACAAGCGGAGGAACAUGUGGUUUAAUUCGAUGAUACGCGAGGAACCUUACCCGGGCUUGAAUUGCAUUUGAAUAUAGUGGAAACAUUAUAGCCAGCAAUGGCAAAUGUGAAGGUGCUGCAUGGUUGUCGU
Molecule: ribosomal RNA, 260 nt
Filed under: uncultured bacterium
Lineage: Bacteria
Description: partial 16S ribosomal RNA
Rfam family: Bacterial small subunit ribosomal RNA
Source: RNAcentral